This 78-nucleotide transfer RNA is filed under the name Trichonephila clavipes. RNAcentral's name for it is "tRNA-Arg". It matches the Rfam family "tRNA". From Rfam's summary of the family: Transfer RNA (tRNA) molecules are approximately 80 nucleotides in length. Their secondary structure includes four short double-helical elements and three loops (D, anti-codon, and T loops). Lineage: Eukaryota; Metazoa; Arthropoda; Arachnida; Araneae; Nephilidae. The record is from RNAcentral.
GGGCUGGCGCAGUGGCGCAAUGGAUAACGCGCCUGACUACGGAUCAGGAGAUUCCAGGUUCGAAUCCUGGCUGGCUCG